Molecule: ribosomal RNA, 468 nt
Filed under: uncultured bacterium
Lineage: Bacteria
Description: bacterial SSU rRNA
Rfam family: Bacterial small subunit ribosomal RNA
Source: RNAcentral
CCAGACUCCUACGGGAGGCAGCAGUGGGGAAUCUUCCGCAAUGGGCGAAAGCCUGACGGAGCAACGCCGCGUGAUCGAAUGAAGGCCUUCGGGUUGUAAAGAUCUGUUGACAGGGACGAAUAAGCAAUGCGAAUAGUUUUGUGUAUGACGGUACCUGUUUAGAAAGCUCCGGCUAACUACGUGCCAGCAGCCGCGGUAAUACGUAGGGAGCAAGCGUUGUCCGGAAUUACUGGGCGUAAAGGGCGCGUAGGUGGGCGCUUAAGUCAGGUGUGAAAACUCCGGGCUCAACCUGGAGACUGCACUUGAAACUGGGUGUCUUGAGGGCAGGAGAGGAAAGUGGAAUUCCUAGUGUAGCGGUGAAAUGCGUAGAUAUCUGGAGGAACAUCAGUGGCGAAGGCGACCACCUGGACCGGUAUUGACGCUGAGGCGCGAAAGCGUGGGGAGCAAACAGGAUUAGAUACCCUUGUA